RNAcentral lists this ribosomal RNA (253 nucleotides) under uncultured bacterium. RNAcentral's name for it is "partial 16S ribosomal RNA". It matches the Rfam family "Bacterial small subunit ribosomal RNA", at positions 524 to 776 of the family's 1533-position model. The record is from RNAcentral.
GACAGAGGCCUCAAGCGUUAGGCGGAAUCACUGGGCUUAAAGCGUGUGUAGGCGGGUCGUUAAGUACCUUGUGAAAUCCCACGGCUCACCCGUGGAACGGCUGGGGAUACUGGCGAUCUUGGGCCAACUAGGGGCGACUGGAACAAGCGGUGGAGCGGUGAAAUGCGUAGAUAUCGCUUGGAACGCCGAAGGUGAAAACAGGUCGCUGGGGUUGUGCCGACGCUGAGACACGAAAGCCAGGGGAGCAAACGGG